RNAcentral lists this transfer RNA (361 nucleotides) under uncultured Microcystis sp. Its description in RNAcentral is "partial 16S-23S ribosomal RNA intergenic spacer". The stretch from base 136 to 209 matches the Rfam family "tRNA". The record is from RNAcentral. Lineage: Bacteria; Bacillati; Cyanobacteriota; Cyanophyceae; Chroococcales; Microcystaceae.
AAAGGGAGACCUAAUUCAGGUAUGGGACGAAAAAAAAGUAGUCGCUACCAAGAAUCAAUCCCAAAAGGUCGGAGCGAGGCGAAAUUGGCUUUCAAACUAGGUUCUGGGUUCAAACAAGACCUGAAUCAGGAACAAGGGCUAUUAGCUCAGGUGGUUAGAGCGCACCCCUGAUAAGGGUGAGGUCCCUGGUUCGAGUCCAGGAUGGCCCACCUGCACAGGUGGCAAAAACAAAGAAGGGAGGAAUCAGCGCCUUAUCUUAUAUACAUAUAUAAGAGAGAAUGCUGGCUCUGAGUACAGAGUCCAGAGGAACCUUGAAAACUGCAUAGAGCUAGGUGAAAAAGCCAAAAAAGAAGACCGCAAG